CGUUUGUGUGCUCUGGUGACGUUUCCCAGGUUCCAAGUAGAGAUGGGCUGGGACCUAAUGGUUCAUGUUACAACAUGAUAAAACAUCUUGUGAAACGCAGUGUCAUCAUUUCAACCCUGUUGCUAACCAAACCAGUUGCACCUACAGAGGUAGGUCAACAAUUUCUUAGAUGAAUAAUGUUGCCUGAGUAGUAUUAAAGAUGAUCUGCGGAUGAUGUCCAUUUAAUUACGGGUGUGCAGGCCUUGUAUUUUGUUUUAAACUACCGUAUUUUCCGCACAAUAAGGUGCACCGAAAAACCUCCAAUUUUCUCAAAAGCCGACAGUGCGCCUUAUAAUCCGGUGCGCCUUAUAUAUGGACCAAUAUGGAUUCGUGGAUGAGGACUAAUUUAUUAAAGUAAGCUUAUGUGUUUAUUUUGUGUGUUGUGUGAUAUUAACGUUAUAGCAACGUUGAUUUAUUGAUAUAUGUUUUCACUAUUUCCAGCGUUACUAUAUUGUGAUUGCAUUAACGUUUGAGCAACGUUUAGUUAUUUAUUCUAUGGGCUUUAUAAUCCGGUGCGCCUUAUAUAUGAACAAAGUUUUAAAAUGGGCCAUUCGUUGAAGGUGCGCCUUAAAAUCCGGUGCGCUUAUAGUGCGGAAAAUACAGUAGUUUCUCUUAAACAUAAAUCACAUUGGGUGAUUGCAUUUGAACCAGUCAAGAAAAGAAUGCAGUUACGAAUUAUGCCUUUUAAUCACAUAUAAUCGGUUAUUGGUCAUGGCUAAAAUGUGUUUUGACAUCAAGUAUUUAGGGCACCAGAUGACAAGGCUAGCGCACUGGGUUUUCAGGGAAAGUUAAUCCUCAGGAUGCCUUAUUUGCUUAUGUGGUAGCUAAGCUAUCAUAAAAGCAGACAUAUAUGAAAGUCAAUCAAACAUAGUGCCUCUGAAGUGGCUUAAUAUUUUGGUGAGUCAUUCAGGCCAUUUUUACAGAGCAGUUUUGUUCAGUGUACAUUUGCAGUAUUGUGAAACGGUUCCAAAACAGCCAAACUGUACCAUCCCGCUUUUUGGCCCACUUUUAUUUGCAGUAUUACCAGUCAGUUUGCUCACUUUGGGUGGGGCUAAACAUGGUUCUGUCUGUACUUGUGACACUUUUCCCCCCGUGCACCACCUUAAAGUGUCCUAAAUCUCUCACUCGCAUUUGGGUGUUGCUGGUCACAGUACCGUAUUUUCCAGACUAUAAGGCGCACCGGACUAUAAGGCGCACCUUCAAUGAAUGGCCCAUUUUAAAACUUAAUCCUUAUAUAAGGCGCACCGGACUUCUAAGCGCACCAUUAAUGCAUCAUGUCAGAUUUUUAAUCCAAAUCAAAUCAUUCUCCAUUUUAUCUUUUUUAUUUCAACUUCAGAUGCAACAAAUGACUUUAUAAUCACAAAAUAAUGAUCCAUAGUCUUUUUGAUUCAUGAUUCAUAGUCUUCAGCAGGCCAUUUAUGCUUGAUUUCAUGACACAAUGCUUCGGGCCAGUUUGAAUUUAGGAAUUUAGUCCAUAUAUAAGGCGCACUGGACUAUAAGGCGCACUGUCGGCUUUUGAGAAGAUUUUAGGUUUUUAGGUGCGCCUUAUAGUCCGGAAAAUACGGUAGUUUAGAACGAUUCACUUGUAUAAACUGAAGCUAGCCAUCCACUGAUUGACUACCGUAGAACGUUUACUUCACAAUAAAAUUGAAAAACAUGAUAAAAAUAGAAGACUACUGCAAAAAGUCAUCACAAAGCAUUGUUGAACAUUUUGUGUUUAUCUUUGAACGGAAUACGGACUUUUUAAUCGCUUGUGCACACAAUAGAUGUUAGGCGAGUCUUUGGCCAAUGGUGGCUUUGUGCCUGUUUAUUUGGAUGUGGAGGAGCGAGGAAGAGCAAUAGAUGUCAUAUCUUAAAAGGUUAAAGCCAUUUGUGCUAUGAUCUCCAAAUAAGAGGGUUGCUAUGACAUACCGUGAUGUAAUGCACCAACAUUCAAGUGCAAUGUUCAUAAAGCAUUUUCUGUGGCACACGCACAUCUUUAUAUGGUCAUAUUCCUGUUUCCAAUUCAAGUUGUUGUUAACAAUAUAGAAAUGAUAGUUUAUAAAAAAAAAAAACCAUUGGUGUAUAUGUAACAAUAUGGACUGGAGAUUCCAUGGUCAUGCUGGAAUGGGAAGAACAAAAACGAGAAUCCAAAGAGACACACAUACAAAUGGACAAUUUAGAAAACGUGUCAAACUCAAGGCCCGGCGAUCAAACCAUCAAUUGCUGCUUCCUAAUUGCUGUCUUAAAGCAAACAGUGUGUCUAAUUUGUUUCUUGCUAAAUGGGUUUGCUCUCUGAAAUGUUGUACCAGAAUUGUCUUUUUUCCUUCACUUUUCAAGAAUAUUUCAAACAUUACAUUACAGAUCAAUAAAGAAAGUUGAAUUUUGACAACUCUGAUUUAGAGCAUUAACAACAUGCAAGGGGGGUAAAAGGAAGUCCACAAAGAAGAUCCAAACUCCUCCACAUAAGAUGCAGACAUACGAAUAUCGAACCGCAGAUCAUUGGUUGGGUGUUAAGGGGCGGGGGUGUCAGAAGUGCAUGUGGUACCUGGUUGGGAUCGCUGGCCUUGAACACGUGACAGGACAUCUCCCCUUCGGGGUUGUCUGGAUGGGCCCGCAGCAGGUAGGCAAAAUAGGUGAGGUCGUUGCUGUUGUGCAUGAAACGGGUGAUGUGCUGCGCCUUGUGCUCGAAUAUGAAAACCGAAUAGUUGUUGCUGGAGGAGGUCGAGGAAGAGGAGCAUGGCACGCAGCGGAGGAAGGGACUGUGGAGCACCAGAUGCACCUCCCGUGGCUGCAUGGCGGGGCCGCAAUCGCCUUUUUCGCUCUUCCGCCGGAUUUCGGCUACCAGCCACGGCAGCAUGGGCAGCGUGCUACGGCGGUCCAGCAGCGCCCAGCCGAUGUAGGUCAACGGGAACCUCUUGUCCUGCAUUUGGCUGCCGUCCUUCUCGCCCGGGGGGGUCUCCAUGCUGGACAGCUGUGACAUUUAAAACUUUUUUUUUUUGCAGGGCGUAAAAAAAAAAGGGCCACUCCCCAAAGACGCUAACUGUCAUGGAAUAAAA
Molecule: long non-coding RNA, 3077 nt
Organism: Syngnathus typhle (broad-nosed pipefish)
Lineage: Eukaryota; Metazoa; Chordata; Actinopteri; Syngnathiformes; Syngnathidae
Exons: 2
Source: RefSeq, a predicted model, not a curated record